UUUAUAAAAUUUUUAUAAAAUAAAAAUAAUAUAUUGUUUUUAAAAACAAUACAAAUUCUUUCAUUCAAACGAACUUCUUGUUUUUUGUAUUAAAACAUCAUGUCAAACACUCUAGUUUUUUAAAAAUUCUAAAAAACUAUUUUUAAAAACACCAAGAACAAGCCCUAUAUUUUUGCAAUUAUUCUGGUGCUUGGAUGAGAUAAGGAUGAAUACGUGUGUAAUGGCCAAGGCAUGCAUAGAAGGGCAUUUCUUUCAUGCUGCAAUUUUGAUCUCCAUGCAUGGGAUCCAAAAGACUCCAGAAGGUUAGAGGCACGUGCAUUCUGGAUGGCUAUCACACAUGCGCUCCGGGUGAGAUGGAGACAUGCAUUUGGCAUGACAAUGAGACUUUUGAGAAGGAUCCAUUUUCUUCCGGGACAUGACAUCAUGAUGGUUUCGAGAAGAGUCUCAUGUGAGGGAGCAUCACCAUAGUACAUGCAAGGAAGUUAUUGCCAAUCACAUUUUUGAACUGCCAGGCAUUUAGGAGGCCGUUUUUGGGGAAGUCUCUGGAAGAGGAAUCUUUUUGUUGAGGGAUGCACACCACACCGGGAAUGGCGUAACAGCUGUAGUUCCAGAGACUUUUGAGGUUGAAAAAAUAGAGACUUCAUUACCGACGAAGAAGCUCUUUUUGGCAUUCUUGGAAAUGAGACUUCGUCGCCAACAUAGAGAUUUUGGGCAUUUUUUGGAGUAGGAGAGUUCAUCACCGACAUAGGGAGUCACUUUUUGGGUGUUUUAUGGAGGAGCGCAAAUUCUCAUUGAAAAAGGCAAGUUCAUAGCUGCCGGAGUAGUUCACUCUUGUGGUUCGUUUCAUCACUGCCGGAGUAGUUCGCCACCGUUGAAGCUCGUUGGUUCGUUUAUAGAGAGUCAUCACCGCCAUUAGAGUUCAUUAUCAUCAGAGAGCAAUAUUCCCCAUUGCAAUCCACCGAUAGUGAGAAAGGAUCAUCAGACACCCAUAUUUGGAGCUUCAGGAUCUUCAUAUUCGAGGAUAGAAUCGCCAUUUUCCUUUGGAUAUCCAUUUUUCUGAGGGAACAAGAGAUCACACCUGCAUUAUUCUUUUCUGGUUUCCGCGAACAUCACAGGAGAUUUUUCUACCAUUUCAAAUCAGUGCUCACCAUUCUUCACCCUCAUCUUGUCUGCAAGAGAUCGCCAUUCUUGUUAUCCUUUUUUCUUGCACUCUUUUUAACUUUUCUUUUUUUCGUUUGGUUGCCGAGAAAAUCUAUAUUUUCUUGUCCUUAAGUUUCUAGGAAACCACAAACUUGUAAGUAUAUUCUCGCCUUUCAAAUGGGUGUUUCCAAGAUUCCUGCUUUCUUUUUUUUUUCUUUUUCUUUCCCUUCCUUUGAUUUCUCAGCAACAAAAAAGAUCAUAUUUGGAAAUUGUUCCGCAACUAGGAUCGCUAACCCAGUAGGUCAUUAACGAAAACUGUUUAGUUAAGAGGAAGAAUUUUUGUCAUGAUUUCCCCGGAACCCUAAUUUCUGUUUGGUUGCGCAGAAAAAACAAGGAAAGACUCUAUUUAUUUCAGUUUCAAACAAUCGCCUAUCCUUGGAUUUGCUAUUUCAGCUUGGAGUGUUUCCGGAGAGAGAGCUAAGAGGGAGGAGAUUGGAGGUUUAUGGUGAUCAGGUCUGAUGAAACAACUGUUUUGACUAAUCAUUCCACUAUUUAGAUUUCUUGAUUAUCUGGUUUGCUUGUCUAACUGUUUCAACCUGUUGAUGAUGCUCGAUUCUUUGUUUCUCAACGUUACUCCGCUGGGCCAUGCACUUUGUUUCCUUUCCGAAUAUAAAAUUCUGAAUGGAAAUUUUGAGGAAAUUAGGGUUUCCCAUGAUGAGAUUGGAUCUAUAAUUGUUGGAACCCAUGGUCAAAUUCUUGAAUUGCUAUUUCGGGAUACCCUAAUUCCCUAUUUUUGGUAUAAAGAUAAAGAUUUCAGUUCAGUUUCAAGGCAAAGCUCUACAUUUAAUCUCUGUUUUGAUCUUCUUUAGCUAUGGAUGCCGACGAGCAUGGUAACAAACGGGUGUUUCAACGACUUGGAGCUUUGAAUGAUAGUGGAAAACAACAAAAGGUUUGUUACCAUUGGAGGGCAGGCAGGUGCAACAAGUUCCUCUGUCCGUACCUACCCAGAGAAUUACCAGGUCCUCCUCCCCAACAACACCAACCAUUCAUAAGCAAUGGAUCAUUGUCCAAAUGGCCAAAUCAAGGAGUACAUGACGAUCACAGCUUUUCUGGUGCAUGAAGAAGUCCUAAGUUUAAUCCUAUGUGGGGGCCGGUUCACGACGGUGGCGCAGGCAAUAGAGCUCAAGGUAGUGGUGCGGGCAAUAGAGUAUUUAAGAAGAUUGAGAAGCUUUGUAAUUAUUGGCUUCAAGGAAAUUGUAGUUAUGGGGAUAAGUGCAAGUUUUUGCAUUCUUGGAGUGUUGGUGAUUGUUUCUCUGAGUUUGACAUAGCUUGAAGUGCAUCAGAAAGUAAUAAAUUUGUUUGAAUUUUGGUUACAUUUGGAGUUCUUGUGCAUUUGAAUGGAUGGGCUGAUUUAUGUUUAUUGGAGUUCCGCAACUAGGAUCGCUAACCCAGUAGGUCAUUAAUGGAAGCUGUUUAGUUAAGAGGAAGAAUUUUUGUCACGAUUUCCCUGGAACCCUAAUUUCUGUUUGGUUGCCCAGAAAAAAAACAAGGAAAGACAGAAAUUGACUGCCUGAACUUUGGAUGUUGCUUUUGCUUCGUAGGGUAUUAGAUCAUUAGAAGAUACUAAAAAAUAAAGACUAAAAAACAAAAUGGUGGCUAUCAAGGUACAUAUUAGCUCUUAUUCUUAUCUAACUCCUUUUCUUUUCCUUUGUUUUGAAUUGUGAUCAAACUUUUCGUCUCCAUAAAUGUAGGGAAAAUUGAAUGCAGCUUCAAGUCAGGUUGCAGGAGAUCAAAAAAAUCUAAAGAGUGGUACAUUUUACAUUGUUUCUAUAAUGAGAAAUUUUAUAUUCUCAUGUAUUAAUUGGAUGCUUAAUUUAGUUUAUAAAAAUUAUUAGUUUGAUUGUUUUGUUGAUACAAUGCUUAGUCUAGUUUCUUUUAAAAAUCAUUAGUUUGGUUAAUCUUUUGAUCUCAUGUUUAGUUUACUUUUCAAAAAAUCAUUAGUUUGGUUGGUUUGUUGAUGUUGUGCUUGGUAUAAUUCUUUUAAGAACCAUUAGUUUGGUUACUCUAUUAAUCUCAUACAUAGUUUAGUUUUUAAACAUUAUUCGUUUUACUAAGUUUAGUUUCUUUUAAAAAUCAUUAGUUCGGUUAGUCCGUUGAUCUCAUAUUUAGUUUAAUUUUUAAAUAUUAUUAGUAUGGUAUAUUUAUUGUAACACCUAGUACUAAUGAAUUAAAUAGGCAAUAAUGAUUAUUUUAGUACUUAACUUUAAGCUUGCUUAAUUAGAUGUUAAAACUAGUUUAGUGCUAAUCAUAUUUAAUUAUGAAUUAAACUUUGAUUAUGGUUAAGUGGGAUUAGUUAAUGAUCUAAGCAUGCUUAUUAGGUUCUUAGGGACUAAUUAGGGUUAUGAAAACCUAAAGGACUAAUGGGCAAUUAUGGGUUUUAUUUUUUUAUAACUUGAAGGACUAAAGUGCAAAAUUGGGAAAUUUGAGUUAGUGGAAUGCCACCUCCUACUUGGGUGGAUUGGUGGCAGCCAUGUGGGCUGCCACCUCAUGCUUGGGUGCUUGGAGACCUCUUUAUAAGGGGGCUGCAGCUCGUUUUGCACCAUUUCACCUGCAGCAACUUGGGUUAGAGAGAGAAUCUAGAGAGAGAAAGUGUAGAUUUGAGUUCCUCGUAAUAGGCAAAGAUUGCCUACUUAGAAGAAACACAAAAAGGAAGUCGGUGUAAGGUAGGGAAUUUUAUGCUAUUCUAUGGUGUAUCUGAUUUCUUUCCUUGAAUUAUUUGUUGGAAUUUUAUGUUGUUUCUAUGAUUUCAUAAAAUCUUUUAAAGUGUCAUUGCAUCUCGGUUUAUUGCAUUGAAAUGUUACCAUGAUGUUGGAACGUAUAUUGGUAUGAAGAUUCGUGGUUUUGUGUUGUCGAAAUGGUUUAUGGUGUGAUUGCAUUGCAAGAAGGAUAUGGAAUUAUCACAGAUCAUAUUCAGAGAAUUUAUUGGUGGCGAAGUGCUUAUGUGAUGCUACAGGCCUUAUCAUUUGAUAUAUUGUUUAUGUGGGACCGUGGGUCCUUGGGUGAAAGUCCCUAAAGCCCUCGAGGAAGACACUCCGAUGUGGGUGUAUGGGGUUGGUCCUGCCCCUGGGUUUUAGUCCCUAAAGACACGGGGUUGGUCCUGCCCUUGGGUAUGAGUCCCAAAAGACACGGGGUAUGACUUGCCCUUGGGUGAUGUCCCAGAAUAGUCAUUAUUAUAUUGAUCGAGUAUCUUGUGGAGCAUUGAUAUCUGCUGUGUAGAUUGUUGGGAGUCAGCAAAUUAUCAGUUGUGAAAGGAUGGAUGGGGAAAAGCAAUGAUGAAACCAACAAACACAUGCAUACAUGUUUGACAUGAUUACACAUUUGUUAAUGGUUAUGAAAUGUUUAUCAUGCAUGUUAUUAAAUGUUUAAUUCAAGGUUUUUAAGGGUAUACUUAGGAUGGUUAUAAACUUUCCUACUGAGUUGUGAACUCACCCUAUUCCUUCCACCUAUAGAUGCAGGUCAGAAGACCUAUGCAGGAAAGAAUGCUUGAGCAAUGCUUUACUGUGAUUGGAUGCUGUUUGCUCAUAUUGAAAGUCUUUUGAGGCCAUGCCUUUUGUAUCAAGACUACACCUUUUGUUGGAAUGAUGUAAUGUAUAUAUUUGUUAGAUACACUUGUAGUAUGGGCUACCCAUAGUAAACAAUGGGGUUUGGUAUAUGUAAAUUAAUGUUGUACAAGUUUCUUUUGUGAAACAAAACAUAUUUUGUUAACUCAAUAGUCACAAUGUUUAUUA
This is a long non-coding RNA of Vitis vinifera (wine grape), 4928 nucleotides long. RefSeq lists it as uncharacterized. The record is from RefSeq and is a predicted model, not a curated record. Lineage: Eukaryota; Viridiplantae; Streptophyta; Magnoliopsida; Vitales; Vitaceae. The transcript has 2 exons.